GUAGGUGGCAAGCGUUGUCCGGAAUUAUUGGGCGUAAAGCGCGCGCAGGCGGUUCUUUAAGUCUGAUGUGAAAGCCCACGGCUCAACCGUGGAGGGUCAUUGGAAACUGGAGAACUUGAGUACAGAAGAGGAAAGCGGAAUUCCACGUGUAGCGGUGAAAUGCGUAGAGAUGUGGAGGAACACCAGUGGCGAAGGCGGCUUUCUGGUCUGUAACUGACGCUGAGGCGCGAAAGCGUGGGGAGCAAACAGGAUUAGAUACCCUGGUAGUCCACGCCGUAAACGAUGAGUGCUAAGUGUUAGGGGGUUUUCCGCCCCCCUUAAUGCUGCAGCUAACGCAUUAAGCACUCCGCCUGGGAGUACGGCCGCAAGGCUG
This 373-nucleotide ribosomal RNA is filed under the name uncultured organism. Its description in RNAcentral is "partial 16S ribosomal RNA". It matches the Rfam family "Bacterial small subunit ribosomal RNA", at positions 527 to 896 of the family's 1533-position model. The record is from RNAcentral.